UGCAAGUCGAGCGGUAGCACAGGAGAGCUUGCUCUCUGGGUGACGAGCGGCGGACGGGUGAGUAAUGUCUGGGAAACUGCCUGAUGGAGGGGGAUAACUACUGGAAACGGUAGCUAAUACCGCAUAANGUCUACGGACCAAAGUGGGGGACCUUCGGGCCUCAUGCCAUCAGAUGUGCCCAGAUGGGAUUAGCUAGUAGGUGGGGUAAUGGCUCACCUAGGCGACGAUCCCUAGCUGGUCUGAGAGGAUGACCAGCCACACUGGAACUGAGACACGGUCCAGACUCCUACGGGAGGCAGCAGUGGGGAAUAUUGCACAAUGGGCGCAAGCCUGAUGCAGCCAUGCCGCGUGUGUGAAGAAGGCCUUCGGGUUGUAAAGCACUUUCAGCGAGGAGGAAGGGUNCNGUGUUAAUAGCACUGUGCAUUGACGUUACUCGCAGAAGAAGCACCGGCUAACUCCGUGCCAGCAGCCGCGGUAAUACGGAGGGUGCAAGCGUUAAUCGGAAUUACUGGGCGUAAAGCGCACGCAGGCGGUUUGUUAAGUCAGAUGUGAAAUCCCCGCGCUUAACGUGGGAACUGCAUUUGAAACUGGCAAGCUAGAGUCUUGUAGAGGGGGGUAGAAUUCCAGGUGUAGCGGUGAAAUGCGUAGAGAUCUGGAGGA
RNAcentral lists this ribosomal RNA (660 nucleotides) under uncultured bacterium. RNAcentral's name for it is "bacterial SSU rRNA". It matches the Rfam family "Bacterial small subunit ribosomal RNA", at positions 56 to 705 of the family's 1533-position model. The record is from RNAcentral.